Molecule: transfer RNA, 47 nt
Filed under: Pachydactylus latirostris
Lineage: Eukaryota; Metazoa; Chordata; Lepidosauria; Squamata; Gekkonidae
Description: Pachydactylus mariquensis latirostris partial tRNA-Cys
Source: RNAcentral
GCCGAAAUGCAAGUUCGGAGAAGCACCCCCUAUGGGUGCCGGGGCUU